CUGAAGGCUUGCAUUGUGCAGUCACAUAAAGGGAGAGCUAACCAGAAAACAGCAGCUGAUGAUCUGAAGCCAGGCUGUGCUAUUGUCCGGCACACAAAUGUUCUACAAGGACCCAGACCACCAUGCAGUUCUCUGUGCACAGACUAUGGAGGUUCGGGGAGGGGGGGCAGUGGAGGGGGCCAGGGCUUUUCUCCCUUCCUUUUCUUUCUUUCCUUCCUGAAACCUUUUCCUUCCAAUCCCUCUACAGCCGCGCACAUUCAACGGCUAGCAAUUAUUCCCAUUGACCCUCCUCACUCUCCAAAUGGGGUGUGGGUCUCUGAAGGUUUUCUCUUUGUACCUGACAACCCCAUGUUGCAGGCAGGCUCCAGGGAGGAGGUGAGGGCUCAGCUCCCUGGGGACGGUGACUGGGAAUGGAGUGGCUGUGAUUUAUUUUCCAUCGAGCAAAGUCAAAGCGAGGACUCCAAGUUCCAUACGAUAGCAACCACAACAACAGCUGUCAUUGGUUAUUUAGUGUGUCAGGUUGGAAGAGCCUUUACCCAUGAGGAGUACUGAAUAAAUAGACUUUCGCCAUUUCUCUCCAAAGAGGUUGGGAAGGAACCACUCAUGAGGAAAGCCUGGAGGGUACAAAUUGUCAGAAUGAAGUAUGGUCCUUUGUUCAGAAUCAGAAGAGUUAACCACUCAAAUCAUAAAAUACCAGCUGAAGCUCACUUCACCAAGCAAUGGGGAACAAAAUGCAAAGAAGAAAAACAUGACAACACUGAAAAUGCCCAAGAUAUAAUCUCUCCAGAUUAAAUCAAGACAACUUCAUUUGGGAUCCUAGAGGUCUUUUGCCUAAAAGACCCAGGAAGCAUGCUUUGAGGUGGCACAGAAAAGAGUCAGAUUUUUUGUCUUCUUUUUUUAAUUUAAUAAGACAGAAUGAGAUUGAUUGGGAAAUGCAGAAUAAUCUGCCUAUCUGGGAAGUGUUUUUGUCUGAUUAUUUGCACUUGAGUGAAAGAAGAUCAACUCUAAGUUAUUAAAUUAAGGGGGUACAAAGAUCAACCCAAC
RNAcentral lists this long non-coding RNA (1044 nucleotides) under Vulpes vulpes (red fox). RNAcentral describes it as "lncRNA (ENSVVUG00000027340.1)". The record is from RNAcentral. Lineage: Eukaryota; Metazoa; Chordata; Mammalia; Carnivora; Canidae.